CCAUAGAUGGAACUAGUUUACACUAUCCACCCUGGCUCACAAAUAUACCAAAAGGGCAGAUGACACAUCUGAAAAUAAAUUGUUAAAACAAAAAAGUGUUUGAGGAACAGGCAUCUACAUAAAAGAGCAUUAUAAGGAAAAGGGAUAUGAUCCAAUAAAGAUGGAAAAAGACGAGGAACAUAUUAAUUAAUUGGACAGAUGUUCCAUGUUAG
Pelobates cultripes (western spadefoot toad) is the source of this 212-nucleotide non-coding RNA. The record is from the annotation of a GenBank genome assembly. Lineage: Eukaryota; Metazoa; Chordata; Amphibia; Anura; Pelobatidae.